AGGACGAACGCUGGCGGCGUGCCUAACACAUGCAAGUCGAACGGAACUCAACUAGUGGCAACACCAGAGAAGAUCUAGUGGCGAACGGGUGAGUAACACGUGAGCAACCUACCCCGAAGAUUGGGAUAACACCGGGAAACCGAUGCUAAUACCGAAUACCCCCACCGGGUCACAUGGCCUGAUGAGGAAAUGGGUUUCUGCUUCGGGAGGGGCUCGCGGCCUAUCGGCUUGUUGGCAGGGUAAUGGCCUACCAAGGCAACGACGGGUAGCUGGUCUGAGAGGACGACCAGCCACACUGGGACUGAGACACCGGCCCAGACUCCUACGGGA
RNAcentral lists this ribosomal RNA (330 nucleotides) under uncultured prokaryote. RNAcentral describes it as "bacterial SSU rRNA". It matches the Rfam family "Bacterial small subunit ribosomal RNA", at positions 26 to 346 of the family's 1533-position model. The record is from RNAcentral.